RNAcentral lists this ribosomal RNA (253 nucleotides) under uncultured bacterium. Its description in RNAcentral is "partial 16S ribosomal RNA". It matches the Rfam family "Bacterial small subunit ribosomal RNA", at positions 524 to 776 of the family's 1533-position model. The record is from RNAcentral.
UACGUAGGGGGCGAGCGUUGUUCGGAAUUACUGGGCGUAAAGCGCGUGUAGGCGGCUAAGUAAGUCGGGCGUGAAAUCCCACGGCUCAACCGUGGAAGUGCACUCGAAACUGCAUAGCUAGAGUCCUGGAGAGGAAGGUGGAAUGCUUGGUGUAGAGGUGAAAUUCGUAGAUAUCAAGCGGAACACCGGUGGCGAAGGCGGCCUUCUGGACAGUGACUGACGCUGAGACGCGAAAGCGUGGGGAGCAAACAGG